UGCAGGAUAGAGCAGUGGUCAGCUCACCGGGUUCAUAUUCCGGAGGUCGUUGGUUCGAAUCCAGCUCCUGCAA
This 73-nucleotide transfer RNA is filed under the name Phaeobacter phage MD18. It matches the Rfam family "tRNA". Rfam says of the family: Transfer RNA (tRNA) molecules are approximately 80 nucleotides in length. Their secondary structure includes four short double-helical elements and three loops (D, anti-codon, and T loops). Further hydrogen bonds mediate the characteristic L-shaped molecular structure. tRNAs have two regions of fundamental functional importance: the anti-codon, which is responsible for specific mRNA codon recognition, and the 3' end, to which the tRNAs corresponding amino acid is attached (by aminoacyl-tRNA synthetases). tRNAs cope with the degeneracy of the genetic code in two manners: having more than one tRNA (with a specific anti-codon) for a particular amino acid; and 'wobble' base-pairing, i.e. permitting non-standard base-pairing at the 3rd anti-codon position. The record is from Rfam by way of RNAcentral. Lineage: Duplodnaviria; Heunggongvirae; Uroviricota; Caudoviricetes.